ACCACAUAUGGGAAGCAAGACCAGCAUCCAGGAAGGCUCUAGAACUCACUUUACCACCUCCAGAAUUCUCUCUUCUCCAAAUUCUCAAGACUGCACCACUGCAUAGAGGAGGAAUGUGCUGAGGUUCAGAGUGCUGGGGCCCAACUUCAGAAUCAGAAAGGAAGGAGGCUCAGCCACCAUCCUGGCUGAACAGAACCCCCAAGCAGGAGGGAUAAUCCCAUGAUAACAACAGGAAAGAGCACCUGGGAUCCAAUAUUUUAUUUAUGGUGCAUCUGAGGCCCAGAGAGAAGUGACACAUCUGAGCUUAUACAACAGAGUUGGACCUAGAAUCCACUAUAUACUUUCUAUCCCACUUGUCAACCUCCUCAGGGGCCAGAGACAGGAGUUAAGAUAGAAGCCCUCAGCCCUCAGGAUUAGUGCCUUCCUGCUGGGACACCAAGCCUAGCAUUGCAAUGGGAGUGUCUGGGGGCAUAUGCCACCAGGCUCAAGGGCAGGGGUUGUGAUAGGAGUGGGGUUGGACUGAAGGGCCUGGCUUGAAGGACUUGCUGAUGUGCACCCUGGAGUUCUGUUUUACUUAACCUUCUGGAAAGAGAACCUCCCUGUGCAUGUAUGAAGGCCAAGGUUAAAGAUAAGGAAGGCCUUGCUCAUACCAUGGUAGGACAGGGUCUCACUAAAUUAUCAGGCUGACCUGGAAUUUACAAUCCUUCUCUCUCAGCCUCCCCAGUACCUGGGAUUACAGGGCUGUGCCACUACACCUGGCUAUUCCUGGGCAGCCUCACCUGGAGGAGCUCCCACGCACACAUGAUAAAGUUUGAUGAAUAAACUUGUGAGGCCACCUGUGUGCGCACCUGUGAGAUUGCUGCUUACAGUCAUUCCUGGGGACGUUAUGGGUGCCUGUCCUUAGCUGCCAGGAGCCUCCAGGUGGCUCUUCCAGGACCCAGUACUUUCAUCUCUCAGACCUGCCCUGAAGCCCAGGAAACUGCCCUGAAGGCCGCACCACACCGCCCGGGGCCUGGGAAGAGCACAAAGCCACCACGAGGCCAAGCCACCGGAAGCCGCCCCGCCCUCCCGCGGACAUUCCUCCUGACAACGGCUGCCUCGGGAAUCCCCGGAAUGAGGAGGCCCGGGCCUCCCAAACCCACUCCCCUCCACCCCGCAUCUAUGCGUGCGCGCUCCAGGCCUGCAGCCCUGCGCCCUGCUCCCCACGCCCAUCCCCAGCGCCCGGUCCUUGGCAGGCCCUGCUGCCUCUCGGGCGGCUACUCUCCGAAUGUAAAAUGGGGGGCUUGGGGUCAGUGGCUGCUGAAUCCCCCACGGAUCACAAACACGUAACAAACGUGAACAGGCUUUGGGGCCAGAGUGACCAGGUUGAAAUCCGCAUCUGCCCUAAUUUACCUGUGAAUUCAGUGCCCUGGGCACCAGCUUUCCCCCUAAAACUGGGUUGAUAUAUACCAGCACCUUCUCAUUGGCCAACCAGAGGCUAAUCUGUCAAAAUCUAUGAAUGGGGACCAGUGAUUAACUCGGUCCAAAACCCAGCUGGACACCAUCCCCAGUCCUUUCUCAAGCCCAGUGCAGAUUUUGGCCCCUGGGCAUUUGCCCAACCAUUGGCCACACCAAUGGAAGCUAAGAAGACCAUCCCUCUGCAGGUUCCAUAACCCCUCCUAUUAGCCAUGAAGUUGUGAAUGGAUAAACCCAUAAAGAAUUUGGGUGUCAAAUAAAAGUUGAAAGGUAGGAAACCCA
Molecule: long non-coding RNA, 1737 nt
Organism: Ictidomys tridecemlineatus (thirteen-lined ground squirrel)
Lineage: Eukaryota; Metazoa; Chordata; Mammalia; Rodentia; Sciuridae
Source: RefSeq, a predicted model, not a curated record